Molecule: transfer RNA, 63 nt
Filed under: Temnothorax stumperi
Lineage: Eukaryota; Metazoa; Arthropoda; Insecta; Hymenoptera; Formicidae
Also listed under: 1 other name
Description: tRNA-Leu
Source: RNAcentral
UAUGGCAGACAAGUGCAAUGGAUUUAAAAUCCUACCAUAAAGAUCCUACCCCUUUUAUUAAAA